GUGGGGAAUAUUGGACAAUGGGCGGAAGCCUGAUCCAGCAACGCCGCGUGAGGGAUGACGGCCUUCGGGUUGUAAACCUCUUUCAGUACCGACGAAGCGCAAGUGACGGUAGGUACAGAAGAAGGACCGGCCAACUACGUGCCAGCAGCCGCGGUAAUACGUAGGGUCCGAGCGUUGUCCGGAAUUAUUGGGCGUAAAGGGCUCGUAGGCGGUUUGUCGCGUCGGGAGUGAAAACUUGGGGCUUAACCCCAUUCGUGCUUCCGAUACGGGCAGACUAGAGGCAGGCAGGGGAGAACGGAAUUCCUGGUGUAGCGGUGGAAUGCGCAGAUAUCAGGAGGAACACCGGUGGCGAAGGCGGUUCUCUGGGCCUGUUCUGACGCUGAGGAGCGAAAGCAUGGGGAGCGAACAGGAUUAGAAACCCUAGUAGUCC
This 430-nucleotide ribosomal RNA is filed under the name uncultured bacterium. RNAcentral's name for it is "bacterial SSU rRNA". It matches the Rfam family "Bacterial small subunit ribosomal RNA", at positions 354 to 796 of the family's 1533-position model. The record is from RNAcentral.